AAUUACAAUUUUCAUCAAUUUGUACAGUUAAAAACUGGUAUUGUUGACGGGAUAAUGAAGCAAUAACAUAUGGUGUGCUAUGUGUACUUCAUGUUGAUGUACACAGCUCAGUUUUUUACAAUAGAAAUAAAAGAAAUUUUUAAAG
This is a non-coding RNA of Gossypium raimondii (Peruvian cotton), 145 nucleotides long. The record is from Rfam. Lineage: Eukaryota; Viridiplantae; Streptophyta; Magnoliopsida; Malvales; Malvaceae.